This 582-nucleotide ribosomal RNA is filed under the name uncultured Alphaproteobacteria bacterium. RNAcentral's name for it is "bacterial SSU rRNA". It matches the Rfam family "Bacterial small subunit ribosomal RNA", at positions 338 to 939 of the family's 1533-position model. The record is from RNAcentral. Lineage: Bacteria; Pseudomonadati; Pseudomonadota; Alphaproteobacteria.
CCUACGGGAGGCAGCAGUGGGGAAUCUUGGACAAUGGGCGCAAGCCUGAUCCAGCCAUGCCGCGUGAGUGACGAAGGCCCUAGGGUUGUAAAGCUCUUUCGGCGGGGACGAUAAUGACGGUACCCGCAGAAGAAGCCCCGGCUAACUCCGUGCCAGCAGCCGCGGUAAUACGGAGGGGGCUAGCGUUGUUCGGAAUCACUGGGCGUAAAGCGCACGUAGGCGGACCAUUAAGUCAGGGGUGAAAGCCCGAGGCUCAACCUCGGAACUGCCUUUGAUACUGAUGGUCUCGAGUCCGGGAGAGGUGAGUGGAAUUCCUAGUGUAGAGGUGAAAUUCGUAGAUAUUAGGAAGAACACCAGUGGCGAAGGCGGCUCACUGGCCCGGUACUGACGCUGAGGUGCGAAAGCGUGGGGAGCAAACAGGAUUAGAUACCCCGGUAGUCCACGCCGUAAACGAUGGAAGCUAGCCGUCGGUCGGCAUGCCGUUCGGUGGCGCAGCUAACGCAUUAAGCUUCCCGCCUGGGGAGUACGGUCCGCAAGAUUAAAACUCAAAGGAAUGACGGAAUCGUCGACUGCAGUGCCUUU